This is a long non-coding RNA of Neopsephotus bourkii (Bourke's parrot), 420 nucleotides long. RefSeq lists it as uncharacterized. NCBI's taxonomy places the organism in Eukaryota, Metazoa, Chordata, Aves, Psittaciformes, Psittacidae. The record is from RefSeq and is a predicted model, not a curated record. The transcript has 3 exons.
UAUCCUGCAGGGCCUGGAGACGGCCGAGGCCCUAGCAACGGAGUCAUAGCAACAGCACCCGGACACAACCAAUCAGCGGAUACCUUCCCGACGCCGCUUAGCCAAUCCGGCGUUGCGAUAGAGACAGGGGCGACGGCGGCGCUAGCGGGCGCGCAGCCGGCCGCGGGCCCCCGCGGGGCGGUGCCGUUAACGGCUGAGGCCGCCGUGAGAGAGGAUAAGCGUACCUAUUUUAAAACACUUGGACCUUGAGGACUUUUCUGAGGAAAAAAAGCCUUGUAUUUGCCUGGCACAAAACCUAGCAAUAAACAAAUCAUCACAGGAAGUGUGUAAUGAUCCAUGUCAUGGCCACAGAUCCAAGAUCACGGGUGGCAGUACGAGCUCACACUUGAGUGAAACAAGCAAGUCUGUGCAGAAGAGUGG